This 482-nucleotide ribosomal RNA is filed under the name uncultured bacterium. RNAcentral's name for it is "partial 16S ribosomal RNA". It matches the Rfam family "Bacterial small subunit ribosomal RNA", at positions 30 to 507 of the family's 1533-position model. The record is from RNAcentral.
AUUGAACGCUGGCGGCAUGCCUUACACAUGCAAGUCGAACGGUAACGGGCCUUCGGGUGCCGACGAGUGGCGAACGGGUGAGUAAUACAUCGGAACGUGCCCGAUCGUGGGGGAUAACGAGGCGAUAGCUUUGCUAAUACCGCAUACGAUCUACGGAUGAAAGCAGGGGACCGCAAGGCCUUGCGCGGACGGAGCGGCCGAUGGCAGAUUAGGUAGUUGGUGGGAUAAAAGCUUACCAAGCCGACGAUCUGUAGCUGGUCUGAGAGGAUGAUCAGCCACACUGGGACUGAGACACGGCCCAGACUCCUACGGGAGGCAGCAGUGGGGAAUUUUGGACAAUGGGCGCAAGCCUGAUCCAGCCAUGCCGCGUGCAGGAUGAAGGCCUUCGGGUUGUAAACUGCUUUUGUACGGAACGAAAAGCCUUCUUUUAAUACAGGAGGGUCAUGACGGUACCGUAAGAAUAAGCACCGGCUAACUACGUG